CCCUUAGAUGUUCUGGGCCGCACUCGCGCUACACUGAAGGAGGCAGCGUGUACUCCUGGAUCGAAAGAUUUGGGUAACCCGCGAAUCUCCUUCGUGCUAGGGAUUGAGGUUUGCAAUUAUCCUUCAUGAACGAGGAAUUCCCAGUAAGUGCAAGUCAUAAGCUUGCGCUGACUACGUCCCUGCCCUUUGUACACACCGCCCGUCGCUACUACCGAUUGAAUGAUUUAGUGAGGACUUCGGACUGGGACCGAUGCGGCUUUCGGGCUGCGUCGGUAUUCUGGAAAGAUGUCCAAACUGUAUCAUUUAGAGGAAGUAAAAGUCGUAACA
Molecule: ribosomal RNA, 327 nt
Filed under: uncultured eukaryote
Lineage: Eukaryota
Description: partial 18S ribosomal RNA
Rfam family: Eukaryotic small subunit ribosomal RNA
Source: RNAcentral